GUGUAAUCACGAGAGAAGAAUUCUUUUUUAAUGUCCAUAUCUUGCUCGAAAAACCUAUUGACACCAUCCAUCAUCUCCUUCAGGACACUUGCAGGAAUCCCAUGAUUAACAACUUCAAAAAAUCCCCAGUCCUCUGAAGCAUUUCGUACUUUGUCAAUGAUCUCCUUGCGAGAAAUUGAACCUUUAUCGACGCCUUCAAGGUCUAUGACAGGGAAAGUGAAGCUGGCGCCAACAUCAGUCUCAGCACACGAAAUUUUGUCCAAAUCAUCAGGCAAUCGAUAGAAAAUGCGAGGGACUUUGAUAAUUCCGCCAUCAACAAGUCCUUUAACACCAGCUUUCGUUUCAUCAAAAGCUUUUAGUUCACUCGUUCGGCAAUAUCCAGAGUUGAUUGCAGAGUCCAUUUUGUCUGUUGAGUGAGGCAAGGUUGAAAUGCUGGCUAGCUGUUCAACUCAUAAUUCAAGAAGAAACCUUAAGGUCCACAAAAUAAUAUAAAUGGU
Molecule: unclassified non-coding RNA, 497 nt
Filed under: Hevea brasiliensis (rubber tree)
Lineage: Eukaryota; Viridiplantae; Streptophyta; Magnoliopsida; Malpighiales; Euphorbiaceae
Source: RNAcentral